GUGGGGAAUCUUCCGCAAUGGACGAAAGUCUGACGGAGCAACGCCGCGUGAGUGAUGAAGGUCUUCGGAUUGUAAAGCUCUGUUAAUCGGGACGAAAGAGCCUAGUGUGAAUAAUGCUAGGAAGUGACGGUACCGGAAUAGAAAGCCACGGCUAACUACGUGCCAGCAGCCGCGGUAAUACGUAGGUGGCAAGCGUUGUCCGGAAUUAUUGGGCGUAAAGCGCGCGCAGGCGGAUCUGCCAGUCUGUCUUAAAAGUUCGGGGCUUAACCCCGUGAUGGGAUGGAAACUACAGAUCUAGAGUAUCGGAGAGGAAAGUGGAAUUCCUAGUGUAGCGGUGAAAUGCGUAGAUAUUAGGAAGAACACCAGUGGCGAAGGCGACUUUCUGGACGAAAACUGACGCUGAGGCGCGAAAGCCAGGGGAGCGAACGGGAUUAGAUACCCUGGUAGUCC
RNAcentral lists this ribosomal RNA (450 nucleotides) under uncultured bacterium. RNAcentral describes it as "partial 16S ribosomal RNA". It matches the Rfam family "Bacterial small subunit ribosomal RNA", at positions 354 to 796 of the family's 1533-position model. The record is from RNAcentral.